UUGUUUCCAAAUGUCAGAGGCUCAUUACCAAAAGCUGGCCUGGCACUUUCAGUGUCACUCCAGUGAACUGGCAUUUCUUUUCCAGAUUUCCCACGUGAAUCUACACCAAGCUCAGCAGAGAGUAGAAAUAGUCAUCCUGCUACAAGGGGCCUGCAUGGAAGAAAUUUGUGGAGCUGAGUAUAGUGCCUAGAGAUGGAUGAGGCUGUGCUGGAAUCUCUCAUGUGCUAAUCAACCCACCUGCAAUAAUACAUAAACACACACUAUUUCAAGA
Non-coding RNA from Taeniopygia guttata (zebra finch), 271 nucleotides. Lineage: Eukaryota; Metazoa; Chordata; Aves; Passeriformes; Estrildidae. The record is from RefSeq and is a predicted model, not a curated record.